GACGAACGCUGGCGGCGUGCUUAACACAUGCAAGUCGAACGCUGAAGCCUAGCUUGCUGGGUGGAUGAGUGGCGAACGGGUGAGUAACACGUGAGUAACCUGCCCUCUUCUUUGGGAUAACGCCCGGAAACGGGUGCUAAUACUGGAUAUUCACUGAUCUUCGCAUGGGGGUUGGUGGAAAGGUUUUUUCUGGUGGGGGAUGGGCUCGCGGCCUAUCAGCUUGUUGGUGGGGUGAUGGCCUACCAAGGCUUUGACGGGUAGCCGGCCUGAGAGGGUGACCGGUCACAUUGGGACUGAGAUACGGCCCAGACUCCUACGGGAGGCAGCAGUGGGGAAUAUUGCACAAUGGGCGAAAGCCUGAUGCAGCGACGCCGCGUGAGGGAUGGAGGCCUUCGGGUUGUAAACCUCUUUCGCUCAUGGUCAAGCCGCAGCUUUGGGUUGUGGUGAGGGUAGUGGGUAAAGAAGCGCCGGCUAACUACGUGCCAGCAGCCGCGGUAAUACGUAGGGCGCGAGCGUUGUCCGGAAUUAUUGGGCGUAAGGGCUUGUAGGCGGUUGGUCGCGUCUGCCGUGAAAUCCUCUGGCUUAACUGGGGGCGUGCGGUGGGUACGGGCUGACUUGAGUGCGGUAGGGGAGACUGGAACUCCUGGUGUAGCGGUGGAAUGCGCAGAUAUCAGGAAGAACACCGGUGGCGAAGGCGGGUCUCUGGGCCGUUACUGACGCUGAGGAGCGAAAGCGUGGGGAGCGAACAGG
RNAcentral lists this ribosomal RNA (750 nucleotides) under uncultured Actinomyces sp. RNAcentral's name for it is "bacterial SSU rRNA". It matches the Rfam family "Bacterial small subunit ribosomal RNA", at positions 28 to 776 of the family's 1533-position model. The record is from RNAcentral. Lineage: Bacteria; Bacillati; Actinomycetota; Actinomycetes; Actinomycetales; Actinomycetaceae.